This 289-nucleotide ribosomal RNA is filed under the name Klebsiella pneumoniae. RNAcentral describes it as "partial 16S ribosomal RNA". It matches the Rfam family "Bacterial small subunit ribosomal RNA", at positions 192 to 468 of the family's 1533-position model. The record is from RNAcentral. Lineage: Bacteria; Pseudomonadati; Pseudomonadota; Gammaproteobacteria; Enterobacterales; Enterobacteriaceae.
GUCGCAAGACCAAAGUGGGGGACCUUCGGGCCUCAUGCCAUCAGAUGUGCCCAGAUGGGAUUAGCUAGUAGGUGGGGUAACGGCUCACCUAGGCGACGAUCCCUAGCUGGUCUGAGAGGAUGACCAGCCACACUGGAACUGAGACACGGUCCAGACUCCUACGGGAGGCAGCAGUGGGGAAUAUUGCACAAUGGGCGCAAGCCUGAUGCAGCCAUGCCGCGUGUGUGAAGAAGGCCUUCGGGUUGUAAAGCACUUUCAGCGGGGAGGAAGGCGGUGAGGUUAAUAACCU